This 476-nucleotide ribosomal RNA is filed under the name uncultured organism. RNAcentral describes it as "partial 16S ribosomal RNA". It matches the Rfam family "Bacterial small subunit ribosomal RNA", at positions 334 to 801 of the family's 1533-position model. The record is from RNAcentral.
CACUCCUGCGGGAGGCAGCAGUGGGGAAUUUUGGACAAUGGGCGAAAGCCUGAUCCAGCAAUGCCGCGUGAGUGAAGAAGGCCUUCGGGUUGUAAAGCUCUUUUGUCAGGGAAGAAACGGUGAAAGCUAAUAUCUUUUGCUAAUGACGGUACCUGAAGAAUAAGCACCGGCUAACUACGUGCCAGCAGCCGCGGUAAUACGUAGGGUGCAAGCGUUAAUCGGAAUUACUGGGCGUAAAGCGUGCGCAGGCGGUUUUGUAAGUCUGAUGUGAAAUCCCCGGGCUCAACCUGGGAAUUGCAUUGGAGACUGCAAGGCUAGAAUCUGGCAGAGGGGGGUAGAAUUCCACGUGUAGCAGUGAAAUGCGUAGAUAUGUGGAGGAACACCGAUGGCGAAGGCAGCCCCCUGGGUCAAGAUUGACGCUCAUGCACGAAAGCGUGGGGAGCAAACAGGAUUAGAAACCCGAGUAGUCCCAUGAU